This 716-nucleotide unclassified non-coding RNA is filed under the name Hevea brasiliensis (rubber tree). The record is from RNAcentral. Lineage: Eukaryota; Viridiplantae; Streptophyta; Magnoliopsida; Malpighiales; Euphorbiaceae.
GCUUUCACAAGCUUCAACAGGAAUAUCUACUUCAAUCUCAUCUUCAUCAGAAUCUGACGAAUUGGCAUAAGCUAAAGCCAACAGGCCAAGGGAAGAAGUUUCUUUACGUGUGUUGGUCCUUGAAAGCUCUUCUACACUUCCAUUAUUCAAUUUCUGAAUUCGAUCAGAUGACUCUACUGGGUCAUCAAUCAAGGCAGGAGCCCUUUUAACAAACCGUCCAGAACUGGAAUCUGAUUCUGCAGCAUUUGGGUCCCUACCAGUAGCAGUUAUGCCACUUACACUUCCUGUCCAGCCAUUGAAAUCACUAUAAUCAGAUGACAUCAAAUGACGAGCAGCUGCUUCUGUUGGUCGAAUUAUGGCCACACACGUAUAACAUAGGAUCCCACAAGUUGCACAAGAAAAAAGUCCUUGCUCCGACAGUGUAUCGCAUUUGUAAGUCAUUCCUCUUGCGGCGUCCAGGUUGACUUUUUCGGUUUCUGGAGAGGAUUGGGCAUCAUCCUUUCUGCCAGAGUCUGGCAGACUGUUACCAGUGUGCCAAGAAGAGUACUUUCCCUUCUCUAAAGAGAUGCCUGCAUAUUGUUUCAUCCCCUGUUUCCUGCCUAGUUUGCGAUCAUCAUAUGCGGAAUCUUUUUUACUCUUCACCUCGUGAUCUGAAUUGGAUGAACUGGGGAACAACCUGGAAUUUACCUUUGACUGGGAUCCAGCUACUAAAUUAG